This 739-nucleotide unclassified non-coding RNA is filed under the name Schistocerca americana (American grasshopper). RNAcentral describes it as "uncharacterized LOC124556606, transcript variant X3". Lineage: Eukaryota; Metazoa; Arthropoda; Insecta; Orthoptera; Acrididae. The record is from RNAcentral.
GUGGCUCGCAAGCCGGCAGCGGUACGCACGUGGGAUGCUGCCCGCUCCUGCUUCACCAGGCUAAACGUCUAAAAUUCGAUGCAGUGCCAGAAUGGUCCUUACAGACAAGAAGAUGCAGCAGAGGAAAUAAGGAAGCGAUACAAAGAUACCUCUCUUGUUAUUUUCAUGGAGCAGCAGAAACUUUCCCAGCAGGAGAACAACUUUUUGUCUUUUGGUACAAGCCGACGGACAGCGGAACACAGUAAUUAUGGAAACCAUGCUGUUAUUGUCAAACAGCCUUUCAGUGCUGAUCAUAAAACACAGAUGUGUGCACUUCUAUGAAAUAAAAAUAGUACCAAAAAAACCAUCAGUGAAGAGAAAAGUCUACAAUAAACACCUUACAAUAACAAAACAUGGAGUAUAACAUGAAAAUUAAGCUACAGUAUUGCAAAAUGGACUUACAUUUCAACAAACAAACAUUUUUGUGAACACAUGGUCAUUAUUUGGUACAGAAUUAACCAAAUAAGGUGGUGCCAUCAUAAAGUAGGAGUGCAAUUACAAAUCUCCAUGUAGCCCUCUGGAUUUAGUAUUUCUGUGGUUUCUGUAAUGCGAUCCAAGCAAAUUUCAGUAUGAUUCCCUCUACAAGACCAUUACCUACUCGUUUCCUCCUGCAUCCUUGUCCUUAAUUUCAGUGGGGCACUGAACUAGAACUUUUUGUUGCAUGUAAAGUUAUACAUCACAUUAAAGAAAUGUGCUGCAA